RNAcentral lists this long non-coding RNA (900 nucleotides) under Arabidopsis lyrata. Its description in RNAcentral is "long non-coding RNA (ALYR_LNC001834)". Lineage: Eukaryota; Viridiplantae; Streptophyta; Magnoliopsida; Brassicales; Brassicaceae. The record is from RNAcentral.
UUGCAUGUUUCUUUACUAUAACUUAGGACAGAGUUGGAUAAACAAACAGAAUCUCAAGUACCAAAACAGAUUCCUCCAAAAAAAAAAUCAAUGGAAGAAACAAUUAAGAGUGUGGUUGAUGAUUGCUUCACCAGUGCUAUGGCACUUACCGACUCAGGUGUCCUUCAUGUGCCUACUCGUUACAUUCUUCCACCUUCACAACGACCAAUGCUCGGUUCAAGCAUUGGCAGUGACACCAUCACGCUCCCUGUCAUUGAUCUCUCCCUCUUACACGAUCCUUUGCUUAGACGCUGUGUCAUCCAUGAGAUUGAAAUGGCCUGCAAGGGAUUUGGUUUCUUUCAGGUAAUGUUUAUACUCUCUUUGUCUACUUAUUACACAUUACAAGUUAUGCAACCCAUUUUCAUGCAUUAUUACUAUCCAAAUGAAUAACAAGUUUCAUGUUUGAGUGUCUCAUUUUCAUGUGUCUAUAUAGUUCAUUAAAUUCAGCCAUGUGUUUCAUUUCUCUGGUCACUAGGACUAGUGUAAUGUUUUAUAGCAUCUACCAAUCACAUCUGAUAUAUGACUUUAUGAGAAAGGCAAUUAUUGUCUUUUUGCAUUUAUCUCAUACUCAACAAAGUCCCUAAUCAAAACAAACUGAGAAAAAACAAAGUCCUUAGUUACUGUCUUUAUUGAGACUUAAAAAAGUAGCCAUGUGAAGAUGCUUAUCUUCAUACUUUAUAACACAACUCAGAUCCAAUCUUAAUUCUCUACAGAUUAUAAACCAUGGAAUAUCAUCAUCAGUGGUGAAAGAUGCGCUAGAUGCAGCUACAAGGUUCUUUGACUUACCUGUCGAUGAGAAGAUGCUUCUGGGUUCUGAUAACGUUCAUACACCAGUAAGGUAUGGCACCAGCUUAAACCACU